GUUCGUGUGUCUCCAUUUCGUCAGUAAAAUUGGAAGUCACCUAUAGGCCGGGCCAUCGCCUAAUAGGUAGGACCGCGGAAUAUGUGGAGUAUAGGUGAUUUCGCGUAUAUGAUCGUAUGUAUCACACCUAUAGGCGAUCUGUUGUAUACAGCAUGGCCUAUAGGCCUGUAGGCUAUAGGUUACCAUGUGUACGCAUGCAAAACUGUGAGAGCCUAAUAGUCCGUUGUAUAAAGGUAUGCCUUUAUGUAGGCCACUCGUGUAUACAGUGUUCGGGGGCAAAGCUGCACUAGCUACACCUUUGACCUCCCUUAAAAUGCUGCAAACUAUGAGGUCUGUGCAUAUGAACCGUUU
This 351-nucleotide long non-coding RNA is filed under the name Volvox carteri. Its description in RNAcentral is "long non-coding RNA (VCAR_LNC003793)". Lineage: Eukaryota; Viridiplantae; Chlorophyta; Chlorophyceae; Chlamydomonadales; Volvocaceae. The record is from RNAcentral.